Molecule: ribosomal RNA, 486 nt
Filed under: uncultured bacterium
Lineage: Bacteria
Description: partial 16S ribosomal RNA
Rfam family: Bacterial small subunit ribosomal RNA
Source: RNAcentral
GAUGAACGCUGGCGGCGUGCCUAAUACAUGCAAGUCGAACGCUGGAGAUCUAGCUUGCUAGAUCGAAGGAGUGGCGAACGGGUGAGUAAUACAUAAGCAACCUACCCACGAAGACUGGGAUAAUCUCUGGAAACGGGGACUAAUACCGGUUAGGUAAUCGGAAGGCAUCUUCUGGUUAUUAAAGGUUAAAAACACUGGUGGAUGGGCUUAUGGCGCAUUAGUUAGUUGGUGAGGUAACGGCCCACCAAGACGAUGAUGCGUAGCCGUCCUGAGAGGGUGAACGGCCACAGUGGGACUGAGACACGGCCCAGACACCUACGGGAGGCAGCAGUAGGGAAUGUUCGGCAAUGGGAGCAACCCUGACCGAGCAACGCCGCGUGAGUGAAGACGGCCUUCGGGUUGUAAAGCUCUGUUGUAAGGGAAGAACGGUAGAUAGAGAAUAUCUAAGUGACGGUACCUUACCAGAAAGCCACGGCUAACUACGUG